AACAGGGCGCACCAGUCGCGUGCUCUAGACCCCGAAGCGGAGUGAUCUACCCAUGGGCAGGUUGAAGCACGUAGUAAGAGCGUGUGGAGGACCGAACCCACUUAGGUUGAAAACUGAGGGGAUGACCUGUGGGUAGGGGUGAAAGGCCAAUCAAACUCCGUGAUAGCUGGUUCUCCCCGAAAUGCAUUUAGGUGCAGCGUCAUGUGUUUCUUGCCGGAGGUAGAGCUACUGGAUGGCCGAUGGGCCCUACAAGGUUACUGACGUCAACCAAACUCCGAAUGCCGGUAAGUGAGAGCAUGGCAGUGAGACUGCGGGCGAUAAGGUUGUGGUCGAGAGGGAAACAGCCCAGACCACCGGGCUAAGGCCCCCAAGCGUGUGCUAAGUGGGAAAGGAUGUGGAGUUGC
RNAcentral lists this non-coding RNA (404 nucleotides) under Georgenia sp. SUBG003. RNAcentral describes it as "bacterial LSU rRNA". It matches the Rfam family "Bacterial large subunit ribosomal RNA", at positions 686 to 1084 of the family's 2925-position model. Lineage: Bacteria; Bacillati; Actinomycetota; Actinomycetes; Allobogoriellales; Allobogoriellaceae. The record is from RNAcentral.